Molecule: ribosomal RNA, 253 nt
Filed under: uncultured bacterium
Lineage: Bacteria
Description: partial 16S ribosomal RNA
Rfam family: Bacterial small subunit ribosomal RNA
Source: RNAcentral
UACGUAGGGUGCAAGCGUUAAUCGGAAUUACUGGGCGUAAAGCGUGCGCAGGCGGUUGUGCAAGACAGAUGUGAAAUCCCCGGGCUUAACCUGGGAACUGCAUUUGUGACUGCACGGCUAGAGUGUGUCAGAGGGGGGUAGAAUUCCACGUGUAGCAGUGAAAUGCGUAGAUAUGUGGAGGAAUACCGAUGGCGAAGGCAGCCCCCUGGGAUGACACUGACGCUCAUGCACGAAAGCGUGGGGAGCAAACAGG